RNAcentral lists this unclassified non-coding RNA (577 nucleotides) under uncultured bacterium. RNAcentral describes it as "partial contains 16S ribosomal RNA, 16S-23S ribosomal RNA intergenic spacer, and 23S ribosomal RNA". The stretch from base 464 to 577 matches the Rfam family "Bacterial large subunit ribosomal RNA", at positions 1 to 114 of the family's 2925-position model. The record is from RNAcentral.
UAUAGAGAAUACCGUUUCCACGAAAACGGUCAAAUCCAAAGCGACUGUCUGAACAUCUCUUUUUGAAAAUGGGUAUAAUUCUGCUGGGUCAGUAGUUCAGUUGGUUAGAAUGCCGCUCUGAUACAGCGGAGGUCGAAGAUUCGAGUUCUUCCUGACCCACCACUUAAAUUGAUGAGGUUGGAAUCAAAAACAAAUACUUGUUUUUGAUUCCAGAUGUUCUGAUGAAUAUCUUCGGAAUCUGCUUUUAUUAGCAAUCAUUGUAAAUCGGUUUUUAAUGUCGUAAAUCAAACUUUAUGGAAACAUGACUUUUGAUUUAUUGAACAUCGUAAUCUCAAAAAUCUUUCUAAAUAGAGUAAUCACGAAAGUGAUAAUUCAAUUAGAGAAGCAAGAAUCAACUUAAAUGCUUAAAAAACUCAUUAAGUUCUUUUGAUUGUGUUUGAAAACUUUCUCUUCAAGCAUAAGAUAAAAAGUAACAAAGGGUGUUUAGUGGAUGCCUUGGCAAUCAGAGGCGAUGAAGGACGUGAAAGACUGCGAUAAGUCCGGGUGAGGCGUCAAUAUCCUUUGACCCCGGAAUUUC